AACGCUGGCGGCAUGCCUAACACAUGCAAGUCGAACGAGACCUUCGGGUCUAGUGGCGCACGGUGCGUAACGCGUGGGAAUCUGCCCUUGGGUUCGGAAUAACUUCGGGAAACUGAAGCUAAUACCGGAUGAUGACGUAAGUCCAAAGAUUUAUCGCCCAAGGAUGAGCCCGCGUAGGAUUAGCUAGUUGGUGAGGUAAAGGCUCACCAAGGCGACGAUCCUUAGCUGGUCUGAGAGGAUGAUCAGCCACACUGGGACUGAGACACGGCCCAGACUCCUACGGGAGGCAGCAGUGGGGAAUAUUGGACAAUGGGCGAAAGCCUGAUCCAGCAAUGCCGCGUGAGUGAUGAAGGCCUUAGGGUUGUAAAGCUCUUUUGCCCGGGAUGAUAAUGACAGUACCGGGAGAAUAAGCUCCGGCUAACUCCGUG
This 428-nucleotide ribosomal RNA is filed under the name uncultured bacterium. Its description in RNAcentral is "bacterial SSU rRNA". It matches the Rfam family "Bacterial small subunit ribosomal RNA", at positions 32 to 507 of the family's 1533-position model. The record is from RNAcentral.